Molecule: ribosomal RNA, 498 nt
Filed under: uncultured bacterium
Lineage: Bacteria
Description: partial 16S ribosomal RNA
Rfam family: Bacterial small subunit ribosomal RNA
Source: RNAcentral
ACUCAAAUGAAUAGACGGGGGCCCGCACAAGCAGUGGAGCAUGUGGUUUAAUUCGAUGCAACGCGAAGAACCUUACCCAGGCUCGAAAUGCAAAGGCAAUCGGCAGAGAUGCCGAGUUCCGCAAGGACUUUUGUAUAGGUGCUGCAUGGCUGUCGUCAGCUCGUGCCGUGAGGUGUUGGGUUAAGUCCCGCAACGAGCGCAACCCUUAUCAUUAGUUGCCAACACGUAAAGGUGGGGACUCUAGUGAGACUGCCUAGGUUAACUAGGAGGAAGGUGAGGAUGACGUCAAGUCCGCAUGGCCUUUAUGUCUGGGGCUACACACGUGCUACAAUGGUCGGUACAGAAGGCAGCAAAACCGCAAGGUGGAGCAAAUCCGUAAAGCCGAUCUCAGUUCGGAUUGUAGUCUGCAACUCGACUACAUGAAGUUGGAAUUGCUAGUAAUGACGUGUCAGCUACAACGUCGUGAAUACGUUCUAGGGCCUUGCACACACCGCCCGU